This 330-nucleotide ribosomal RNA is filed under the name uncultured eukaryote. RNAcentral describes it as "partial 18S ribosomal RNA". It matches the Rfam family "Eukaryotic small subunit ribosomal RNA", at positions 1470 to 1796 of the family's 1831-position model. The record is from RNAcentral.
CCCUUCGAUGUUCGGAGCUGCACGCGCGCUACACUGUGGGUGGCAGCAUGUUAGCUUGCCUCGCUCGCAAGAGUGGGGUAAUCGUUUGAAAAUCCCACGUGAUUGGGAUAGGGACUUGUAAUUAUUUCCCUUGAACGAGGAAUCCCUAGUAAGUGCAGGUCAUCAGCUUGCGCUGAUUACGUCCCUGCCCUUUGUACACACCGCCCGUCGCUCCUACCGAUUGAAUGGUCCGGUGAAGCGUUCGGACCGUGGCCUUUGGACGGUUCGCCGUCUGUUGGCUGCGGGAAGUUCGUUAAACCUUAUCAUUUAGAGGAAGGAGAAGUCGUANCA